CAGGCGAGAGUAUUGCAUCAGGUACUGGUGUGAUAUCGAAGCAACCAGUACUUGUGUUAUACUUACGCUCG
Atta cephalotes is the source of this 71-nucleotide microRNA precursor. It matches the Rfam family "mir-12 microRNA precursor family". Lineage: Eukaryota; Metazoa; Arthropoda; Insecta; Hymenoptera; Formicidae. The record is from Rfam.